Molecule: ribosomal RNA, 459 nt
Filed under: uncultured bacterium
Lineage: Bacteria
Description: partial 16S ribosomal RNA
Rfam family: Bacterial small subunit ribosomal RNA
Source: RNAcentral
CCUACGGGUGGCAGCAGUGAGGAAUAUUGGUCAAUGGCCGAGAGCCUGAACCAGCCAAGUCGCGUGAGGGAAGACGGCCCUACGGGUUGUAAACCUCUUUUGUCGGGGAGCAACGCGAGUCACGUGUGACCCAUUUAGAGUACCCGAAGAAAAAGGCUUGGCUAACUCCGUGCCCGCAGCCGCGGUAAUACGGAGGAUGCGAGCGUUAUUCGGAUUUAUUGGGUUUAAAGGGUGCGCAGGCGGGAGUGCAAGUCAGCGGUAAAAUUGCGGGGCUCAACCCCGUACUGCCGUUGAAACUGGAUCUCUUGAGUGCGCGAGAAGUAUGCGGAAUGCGUGGUGUAGCGGUGAAAUGCAUAGAUAUCACGAAGAACUCCGAUUGCGAAGGCAGCAUACUGGCGCGCAACUGACGCUGAUGCACGAAAGCGUGGGUAUCGAACAGGAUUAGAUACCCCAGUAGUC